AGACGGAGGGCGCAAGCGUUGUUCGGAAUUACUGGGCGUAAAGGGCAGGUAGGUGGUCUGUUAAGUCUUCUGUGAAAAUCCGGGGCUCAACCCCGCGAAAUGCAGGUGAAACUGGCAGACUGGAGACCGGUAGAGGCUAGCGGAAUUCCUGGUGUAGCGGUGGAAUGCGUAGAUAUCAGGAAGAACACCUGUGGCGAAGGCGGCUAGCUGGGCCGGUUCUGACACUGAACUGCGAAAGCGUGGGGAGCAAACAGGAUUAGAAACCCCAGUAGUCC
This 275-nucleotide ribosomal RNA is filed under the name uncultured bacterium. RNAcentral describes it as "partial 16S ribosomal RNA". It matches the Rfam family "Bacterial small subunit ribosomal RNA", at positions 523 to 796 of the family's 1533-position model. The record is from RNAcentral.